ACCAACCGGGAUUGCCUUAGUAACGGCGAGUGAAGCGGCAAAAGCUCAAAUUUGAAAUCUGGUACCUUCGGUGCCCGAGUUGUAAUUUGGAGAGGGCAACUUUGGGGCCGUUCCUUGUCUAUGUUCCUUGGAACAGGACGUCAUAGAGGGUGAGAAUCCCGUGUGGCGAGGAGUGCGGUUCUUUGUAAAGUGCCUUCGAAGAGUCGAGUUGUUUGGGAAUGCAGCUCUAAGUGGGUGGUAAAUUCCAUCUAAAGCUAAAUAUUGGCGAGAGACCGAUAGCGAACAAGUACAGUGAUGGAAAGAUGAAAAGAACUUUGAAAAGAGAGUGAAAAAGUACGUGAAAUUGUUGAAAGGGAAGGGCAUUUGAUCAGACAUGGUGUUUUGUGCCCUCUGCUCCUUGUGGGUAGGGGAAUCUCGCAUUUCACUGGGCCAGCAUCAGUUUUGGUGGCAGGAUAAAUCCAUAGGAAUGUAGCUUGCCUCGGUAAGUAUUAUAGCCUGUGGGAAUACUGCCAGCUGGGACUGAGGACUGCGACGUAAGUCAAGGAUGCUGGCAUAAUGGUUAUAU
This 565-nucleotide ribosomal RNA is filed under the name Saccharomyces sp. 25-C4-P8A9. RNAcentral describes it as "eukaryotic LSU rRNA". It matches the Rfam family "Eukaryotic large subunit ribosomal RNA", at positions 64 to 643 of the family's 3401-position model. The record is from RNAcentral. Lineage: Eukaryota; Fungi; Ascomycota; Saccharomycetes; Saccharomycetales; Saccharomycetaceae.